This is a small nuclear RNA of Vicugna pacos (alpaca), 107 nucleotides long. The record is from Ensembl. Lineage: Eukaryota; Metazoa; Chordata; Mammalia; Artiodactyla; Camelidae.
GUGCUUGCUUCGGCAGCACAUACACUAAAAUUGGCAUGAUACAGAGAAGAUUAGUAUGGCCCCUCUGCAAGGAUAACACGCAAAUUCGUGAAGCAGUCCAUAUUUUU